CUUUUACUCUAACCUCAUGCACACGUGUCUCAUCAAAGUACCCAGUGUGAAGGUAAAUGUUGCAUAUAAUGUUGUUUAGGGGGCACGUUGUUGUUCAGGAUGCUGCUUUUUAAAGAUGCUGCUCUGUCUCAGUUUUUGUAAAGUUUCCGUCAUCAGAGCAAAAAAGGUUGUGAGUUAUUUCACUUAAUUCUGAUAAGAUGUAUAGCAUGGUCCUUGCUGCUGAUAAAAACAAAAGUGAAUAUCUUCAGAAAUAUCAGCAUCUGUCCAGACGACAUUUUUAGUUUGUUAUCUAUCAUUAGAUUCCAUCGUUACACUAAUUGGACAUGUCUUGUAUAGGCCUAUUAAUAUGCAAACCUAGGCCUAUAGCCUACCUGAAGUUAUAACAUCUAGAUCAAUAUGAUUUGACAAAAUAAAGUGCUUCAAUGCACGUUUUAUUUCCUUUUGCACAACUGCAACAGCAAGGGCAACAGGUUUUUUUGUGUUCAUUUAAGGCACACUCAAAAAAUGUUUCUGGGUCCUGGUAAAUAUUAAGAAAUAUGUAUACAAACAAUUUAAGGAAUAUUGAAAUCAUAUAAACACCAUUUGAACUGUCCGCGUAUUAACUUUUAAACAAAUAAUCUAAACAAAUAAUGUAGGCCUAUGCACUUGAAAAAAGCUCAUAAUAUUAACUGACAUGCACAUCACACUCCAGAACAGUAGGUGGCAGUAAGAAAUGAAUCGCCUAUUGUCGAAACACAUUUUCAUUGACAGUAUUUAUCUUCUUCCUGCUGGCACCAAGUUGUUACCUUAUUGGUACAGAAAUAUUUUACAUAAAUCAAAACUAUAUAUGUGAAAUUCAUGCUGUAAUUCAGGUGGGAUAACAAACAAAAACAAAAAAAAUCACCAAAGGGUAAAACCGGAAAUGGAAUUACGUCACUUCCUGUUCGUCAGUUGGUCUCCUGCUUUGAAAUUGAGGCAAUCGUUUUCAGCCGGAUGGUUACCCCCUGUGCUAGUGGAAGAUGUGACUUUGAAGACAGUCAUUGUAAAAGGUGCAAAAGGCUUGUCUAAGAUAAGCUGGCAGUCUACACCGCAUGGCCUGCGUUGCUGACAUUAAGUGAAGUUAAUGCAGAGUUCCUGUGCCUGACAGAUACUUGAGGAAGCAUCUUGGAGGUUGUCAAGGAGAAGGGAGGCGUUGCCAGAAGGAAGGACUGGAGUGGCGAAGUGAUCCAAAGGCAGACUGCACAUCUACGUAUAUGGUUUGCAAGGAACAUCCCGUGCCAGAGACUGUGAUACAAGGCAUGGAGCUGUACAGUGAACUCGGAGCAUCUCUUGUGCAUGUGUGAUGCUGUUUGGACUCGGUUACCGGUAUAUACCCUUAAUCUCAACUCUGUGGAUUUGGAUUUACAAUUUUAAGUAUCCAGAUGAACUGAAAUAUAUGUUCUGGUGAAUUUGGAAAAUAUGCCCAAAAGGUCCAAUCACUAUAAACUACAGUAAAUAUGUUGGACACUGGCAAUCUCAGGUUCUAAGCCAUUGUAUAAAAGGACAAUCCAUCGCAUUUCUAUUAAUACUUUUGUGUGCUGUUCUCUGAUCUGAGUUGAUGAUUUUUUUUGUCCUUUUUUGUCUUUUGUCAGCAUGGCAUUGAGUAUCAUUGAGGGGCUUUUUUCUAAACAUUGGCUAUGCAGAUUAAAAGAUGAGCACUAUAAGGAAAGGCGUAAUAACGCCUCAGUAGCACUUCAUGGACACAUUGAUAUCAUAAUUAAAAACAUUUCUCUCUCCCUCUCCUCCCCCACUUUGAGAAAGAAUCAAAGAGUCAAAAGUGCUCCUGCGGGCAGUUGGUUAAUUCUAAAAUGUCCAUUCACAAAUAACAUCUUUUUCAUGAAUGUCUAAGUAAAUAAGUGAGUAAAUAGACACAUACUGUUCUGAUGAGAGUAUGCUUUUCGGCCAAAGAUAUCUGACUGCAUAUCUGACCCAAGCGAUUAUGACAUUACUUAGAAUUUGAUGGUGGUUGUAAGCAUUCAUGAAAAAGAUGACAUUUCUGAACAGGCCACAUUAAUUAAUGUGUUACAGUACACUGAUAAUUUCAGGUUUUCUGUUUAAUUUCUGUUUAAUCAUACGAUUAUAUUGUCAAGAUUUUGGUGUUUUAUUAUCGUUUGACUGCAUGUUUGUCCAGCUGAUGAAAUAUUAAUAAAAGAAAUGUUUUGAAGUUCU
Molecule: long non-coding RNA, 2187 nt
Organism: Engraulis encrasicolus (European anchovy)
Lineage: Eukaryota; Metazoa; Chordata; Actinopteri; Clupeiformes; Engraulidae
Exons: 5
Source: RefSeq, a predicted model, not a curated record